Long non-coding RNA from Papaver somniferum (opium poppy), 659 nucleotides. RefSeq lists it as uncharacterized. The record is from RefSeq and is a predicted model, not a curated record. NCBI's taxonomy places the organism in Eukaryota, Viridiplantae, Streptophyta, Magnoliopsida, Ranunculales, Papaveraceae. The transcript is spliced from 4 exons.
UUACAAUAUCCCUAUUUUGAUUUGGCUAUUGAUUUGAUUUUGUUUUAUUAAUAAUAAUGAGUGUUUUCUGAUGUGGGUUUUUGUUUUCGAAGGCUGUUGUGAAGGUUAUAUAUGAAUCUGGAGAAGAGGAGCAUAGAUUUGUUGAGGAAUGGAUAGUAUUAAAUCUGAAGAAGAGGAGGUUAUUGAUGUUGUAUUCGUUAAGCAGAAGAAGAGGAGGUUAUUCAUGUUUUUGCAAUCUUAGUGUUAUUGAUGCUGUAUUUCUUGAGCUUACUAGGGAAUCUCUACUGCGAAAUUGGUUCAUUGAUAUUCCAUGGUGGCGAAGUUUUAAUUUACAGUAUCAAGAUGGUGAAGUUUACAGCUGAAGAGCUUAGUCGGAUCAUGGACCUAUAGUGUAAUGUCAGGAACACGUCCCUCUUUGCCCAUUUGGACCAUGGUAAUGCAACUGUAUGGUAUUGUUGCUACAUUUUGAUUAAUACGGAGUUUAGGUUUGUCUCAAACUCAAACGCUAAACCAGAAAUCGUUGAAGAUUCAAAACAAGAAAACAACGAGAAAUGGUACAAUUGUCUAAAAAGGGGGUUGGAAACGAUCUGCAAAAUUAUAUGAAAGGGAUUGUGGAGCUCACAAGAGGAUGCUAUACAACAGAUAUUUUGUUACUGCUG